RNAcentral lists this ribosomal RNA (232 nucleotides) under uncultured bacterium. Its description in RNAcentral is "partial 16S ribosomal RNA". It matches the Rfam family "Bacterial small subunit ribosomal RNA", at positions 15 to 228 of the family's 1533-position model. The record is from RNAcentral.
GAUCCUGGCUCAGGAUGAGCGCUGGCGGCGUGCUUAACACAUGCAAGUCGAACGGAGGACCCUUGACGGAGUUUUCGGACAACGGAUAGGAAUCCUUAGUGGCGGACGGGUGAGUAACGCGUGAGGAACCUGCCUUGGAGAGGGGAAUAACACAGUGAAAAUUGUGCUAAUACCGCAUAAUGCAGUUGGGUCGCAUGGCUCUGACUGCCAAAGAUUUAUCGCUCUAGAUGCG